CCUACGGGAGGCUGCAGUGGGGAAUAUUGCACAAUGGGGGAAACCCUGAUGCAGCGACGCCGCGUGAGUGAAGAAGGAUUUCGGAAUGUAAAGCUCUAUCAGCAGGGAAGAAAAGGACGGUACCUGAUUAAGAAGCCCCGGCUAACGACGGGCCAGCAGCAGCGGUAAUACGUAGGGGGCAAGCGUUAUCCGGAUUUACUGGGGGUAAAGGGAGCGUAGACGGCAGCACAAGACUGGCGUGAAAUGCCGGGGCUUAACCCCGGAACUGCUUUGGAAACUGUGCAGCUAGAGGGCAGGUGUGGUAAGUGGUAUUCCUCGUGUAGCGGUCAACUUCUUCGCUAUUACGAGGCACUCCAGUGGCGAAGGCGGCUUACUGGACUGUACCUGACGUUGAGGCUCGAACGCGUGGGUAGCAAACAGGAUUAGAUACCCUAGUAGUC
RNAcentral lists this ribosomal RNA (440 nucleotides) under uncultured bacterium. RNAcentral describes it as "partial 16S ribosomal RNA". It matches the Rfam family "Bacterial small subunit ribosomal RNA", at positions 338 to 795 of the family's 1533-position model. The record is from RNAcentral.